GAUGAACGCUGGCGGCGUGCCUAAUACAUGCAAGUCGAACGCACAGUUUAUACCGUAGCUUGCUACACCAUAGACUGUGAGUUGCGAACGGGUGAGUAACGCGUAGGUAACCUGCCUGGUAGCGGGGGGUAACUAUUGGAAACGAUAGCUAAUACCUAAUAAUCUUCAUUAUUCCAUGAUAAUUAAUUGAAAGGUGCACUUGCACAACUACAAGAUGGCCCUGGUUUGUAUUAGCUAGUAGGUGAGGUAACGGCCUACCUAGGCCACGAAACAUAUCCGACCUGGGGGGGUGAUCGGCCACACUGGGACUGAGACACGGCCCAGACUCCUACGGGGGGCAGCAGUAGGGAAUCUUCGGCAAUGGACGAAAGUCUGACCGAGCAACGCCGCGUGAGUGAAGAAGGUUUUCGGAUCGUAAAGCUCUGUUGUAAGAGAAGAACGGGUGGGAGAGUGGAAAGUGCACACUGUGACGGUACCUGACCAGAAAGGCACGGCUAACUACGUG
This 505-nucleotide ribosomal RNA is filed under the name uncultured bacterium. RNAcentral describes it as "partial 16S ribosomal RNA". It matches the Rfam family "Bacterial small subunit ribosomal RNA", at positions 28 to 507 of the family's 1533-position model. The record is from RNAcentral.